Danio rerio (zebrafish) is the source of this 116-nucleotide ribosomal RNA. Lineage: Eukaryota; Metazoa; Chordata; Actinopteri; Cypriniformes; Danionidae. The record is from Ensembl.
UAUCACGGCCAUAUCACCCUGCAACCCAAGACCGGUUACUCGCUGAAGCUAAACAGGGCUGAGCCUGGUCAGUACCUGGAGGGGAAAUCACAUGGGAAACCUGGUCACAUUUGGAA